This 254-nucleotide ribosomal RNA is filed under the name uncultured bacterium. RNAcentral's name for it is "partial 16S ribosomal RNA". It matches the Rfam family "Bacterial small subunit ribosomal RNA", at positions 524 to 776 of the family's 1533-position model. The record is from RNAcentral.
UACGAAGGGGUGCAAGCGUUACUCGGAAUUACUGGGCGUAAAGCGUGCGUAGGUGGUUUGUUAAGUCUGAUGUGAAAGCCCUGGGCUCAACCUGGGAAUUGCAUUGGAUACUGGCAGGCUAGAGUGCGGUAGAGGAUGGCGGAAUUCCCGGUGUAGCAGUGAAAUGCGUAGAGAUCGGGAGGAACAUCUGUGGCGAAGGCGGCCAUCUGGACCAGCACUGACACUGAGGCACGAAAGCGUGGGGAGCAAACAGG